Long non-coding RNA from Lineus longissimus, 432 nucleotides. RefSeq lists it as uncharacterized. The transcript is spliced from 3 exons. Lineage: Eukaryota; Metazoa; Nemertea; Pilidiophora; Heteronemertea; Lineidae. The record is from RefSeq and is a predicted model, not a curated record.
CAUCCUCUCGUCAAUUACCUAAAGCCGAAUCGACAGAGCAGUUCAAGCAUCGUAGAUUAUCGUAGAUUUUACCCAUUUUGCUCGGCGUCAUGAAGAUCGCUAUUUUUCUCGUGUUAGUUGUCAUGGUUGUGUUCUCAAAUGCUGUAACGUACGAUUUCGAACCAGAACAUUGCAAAGAGCGAGCAAUGUGUAUGAGGGUUUGUGAGAACGGGUUUCAGAGGGCUAAUGAUGGAUGCGUGAAAUGCAAUUGCAACGUAGAUUUGUCCCAUUGUCCCAACGUGUCCUGUAUGAUGGCAUGCCCCACUGGUGCCAAAGAGAAGGGACCUGAUGGGUGCGAGGUUUGCAAAUGCCGCGACUGACCCAGCAUUUCGAGUUCGCGCCGCAAAUUCGCUUUCGCUGUGCGCUAAAGAAAUAAAGAAACCCGUACAAUAA